GGAACACAAGAUUUUCUCCUGGAAGUGAGAAAUCUGCAGACUUCAGAGAUCCAGCUCCCCGGGAGUUGGCUGGUGGAGGUGAUGGACAGUCCUGCCUCAGCUGGCAGCUAGCUCACUUUGGGGCCCUCUGGUACUCAGGAUCUGUCCUAUGACGGUGGUACUCCGCCAACCACGGAUGGAACCAUUGGAACCAUGGGACAAAUGAAUCCUCCUCCUUCAAGUUGUUCUCUUGGGGAUUGUUGUCACAGAGAAGUAGAACCGGUAGAGCAGUGACAGGUGCCCCUGGGGACCAGGCAAGGCUCGAGUUCUCUGUGGAAAGGCAUCUUGAAGGCCCCGAAGGCUCAGUGUGUUUAUCAUCCUUUCUGUUUCUCUUUGGAAACGUAAAGGGGAAAAUGGCUUAAAAUUUAAUGGCUGACUUGAAACUGAGUAUGACUUUAAAAAAAAAUUACCAUUUCCAAAAGGUACCCAAGAUACAGCUUGCCUACCACUUUUACCUCACAGCCGGAGGGGUUGAACUCAGGCCCAGAAUCCAGCAAAGGCAAAGGCAGUAUUAACAGCCUGGGAGUCCAGCUCCCAGAACUGCUACCCAAGAUUACUCAGAGAAAAACUUCUCAAGAGCAGGGAUAGAAAGAUUUCCUUUCUAUAAUAAUUCACAUACGAUUUGAGGGUAAUUCUCUUUUACUUCAUCUUGAAAAAAAAUCUUCUGACAAUCUCCGUCUCUACAUAGUUACAUCUCUAUACCUACAGCUGUAUCUCUUGUAAGAUACAUUUCUCUUUACCCACAGCUCUUUCCUACACAGCUCUCUUCUAUACAUGCUUCUCUCUACCCAGCUACAUUCCUUCAUUCAUAACUUGCAUUUCUCUUCUACAUUUCUCAUUCCCUCACUCAUUCUCUCUCCUCUACACACACAUUUCUGCCCUACACACACAUCUUUCUCCUGCACAGCCAUAUAUUUCUAUAUAUAGCUACACGUCUCCACACACACCUCUUCUGCACGAUGCUACAUCUCCCUUUCAGCACACCCACACAUUGCUUACACACACUCACCCUUUCUCCCUUUCAGCACACUCUCUGUUUUGUUUUGUUUUGUUUGUUUUUCGAGACAGGGUUUCUCUGUGUAGUUUUGUGCCUUUCCUGGAACUCCCUCUGUAGUCCAGGCUGGCCUCGAACUCACAGAGAUCCACCUGCCUCUGCCUCCCGAGUGCUGGGAUUAAAGGCGUGCGCCACCACCGCCGGCUUUCAGCACACUCUCUGGACAGCUAUACAUUACAUUUUCAGGGCCCGACCCAUUCUCAUAACACAUGAUAAGUCACAUAGUUUUUCUUGAGCUAGGAAGGUCAUGCUGACCAGCCAGUGGGUAAUGCUUGGCCAAGCAUGUAGCCUGAGUGGUUGGUUAGCGUUCCCAGACAGAGAAUGACAUUCAGGACAACAACAACAGUAGUUGGCUGAACCUUGAGUGGUAGGGGUACGUGCAGAAAGAGAAUUACUGCAGAGAGUAUGUCCACCAAAGUUGCUUCAUGUCUGACCUUGAUUUAGCAAUAAACAUCUGGGAAUUUGUC
Molecule: non-coding RNA, 1560 nt
Organism: Peromyscus maniculatus bairdii (prairie deer mouse)
Lineage: Eukaryota; Metazoa; Chordata; Mammalia; Rodentia; Cricetidae
Source: RefSeq, a predicted model, not a curated record